Apis dorsata (giant honeybee) is the source of this 243-nucleotide long non-coding RNA. RefSeq lists it as uncharacterized. The transcript has 3 exons. The record is from RefSeq and is a predicted model, not a curated record. Lineage: Eukaryota; Metazoa; Arthropoda; Insecta; Hymenoptera; Apidae.
AAUGCUUGGAAUGAAAAAUAGCAUUGAUAGCUAAUACUAAAUAUUACUACUAUUGAUAACUAAUAAUAUUAUAUUACUAACUAAAAUAUUAUUGUAUAACAAUAUGAUAUCUGUACUGAGAUUUAUUUUUUUGUUUCUAUCAAUUAUUUUAAUAACAGGCUAUUUUGUGACACCAACGAUGUCUGCCCUGUGUAAAUGUUACAGGAAAAUAAUACCUCAUAUGUGUUGGAAAAUAUGUGGAAA